AGGAAGAAGGUGUGGCCGGGUUAGCUCAGUUGCACAUAUAUAGAGGUUUACUCUUCGACGCCGCGGGUUCGACUCCGACCUGCGGCCCUUUGCUGCAUGUCAUUCCCCCUCUCUCUCCCCUUUCGUGUCUUCAGCUGUCCUGUAGAAAUAAAAGGCCUAAAAAUGCCCCAAAAAAUUAUCUUUAAAAAAUCAUCUUACCCACAGAUAAAAAGGACAAAAAGGCAGAAGAAAGUGAGCAGAAUGAUGAAGAGGAUGAUGAUGAUGAUGAUGAUGAUGAUGAUGGUGAAAAAGAAGAGGGAGAAAAAGGAACUGCAACCAGAGCGACCACACGGUCAGCAGCUCGCCUGGAGGCUGAAAGAAACAAGCCAAGUAAACCCUCCACCCGGGCAAGUCGGCAGAGCGGUAAAGAGGAGACCACAGCUGGCACACGCGGGGCGAGGGGCCAGGCAGCAGCAGCGAAGGGGGGCCGUAAACGGGAGGCCAGCCCCCCUGCGGUGCGAAUGCGGGGAGGACAGAAAUCAGAGGAGCCCCAUUCCAAGAGAGCCAAACGCUAAAACCUCAGACAGCGGUGGAUUGAUUCGCCCCAGCAGCGUUUUCGCUGCACUCCAUAUUCAAGUCAGUUUUGUUAUCAGGGGUCAAAGAGCCUCUACAGUCAGUUAGCAUGCAAAGCUGUUUCUGCUUCAUUGACUGUAGGUAUUGAAAAGCUCUGGAGAGUAUUAUACUCUCUCGUCUGAUGGUUUGGGUAUAAACCUGAGGAUCUGUGUCGAAAUCCCCCCAGAAUACCUUCUACUGCACUACGCCCAUAUGGUUUGGAUCAGACUUCAUCGUUCCUCCGUUUAUUCAGUAAUGCCCAGUGAAUCCGAGUAUUUCAGCCCAAUCAAAGGCCUAACAUGCAGCAGAGUCGUGUUUUGAGAUACAGAGGGUGAAUUGAAACUAGAGGCCAGAGUGCGUCUCGGUUCCUGCUGAGACUGUAAAUCCAAACACUUGUACAUAGAAAUCACUGUGAAGCUUCUUAGUGUUCAUUGUGAAUUUUAUUUUUCCAUAUUCAUUCUGUGAAUGAAAGGAGAAGUUCUUGUUUUAAAUUGUUUUUUUUUCUUAAUAUUCAUAAGGUAAGGGACUUUUUUGUUUUAAACAGCAGAUUCGUCACAGACUGGGGAAAACACGUGAACAGUUUCUCUAUAAACUGAAUCUACUUUAUGACACACCCGCUGCAGACAAAAGAACUGUUUCUUACUGUCUAAAUGGAGGUAAUCUAGUCAUUUGUAUUGUUUCAACUGUAUAUCAAUAUAAUGGUUAGAUAUCUUGCCUACCUGUUAAUGUAAAGACAUUUUUUUUUAUAAAUAUAAAAAUACUGAAUAUUGCUUCCUUUUUUUUAAUUGUUUCAAGCAAGUAUAAAUCACUUCAAGUUCUUAUUUGUGGUCAAAAUCAGAAUUUCUAUUGGAAGCAG
This 1447-nucleotide long non-coding RNA is filed under the name Sander lucioperca (pikeperch). RNAcentral's name for it is "lncRNA (ENSSLUG00000024262.1)". Lineage: Eukaryota; Metazoa; Chordata; Actinopteri; Perciformes; Percidae. The record is from RNAcentral.